GUGGGGAAUCUUGCGCAAUGGGCGAAAGCCUGACGCAGCCAUGCCGCGUGAAUGAUGAAGGUCUUAGGAUUGUAAAAUUCUUUCACCGGGGACGAUAAUGACGGUACCCGGAGAAGAAGCUCCGGCUAACUUCGUGCCAGCAGCCGCGGUAAUACGAAGGGGGCUAGCGUUGCUCGGAAUUACUGGGCGUAAAGGGCGCGUAGGCGGACAGCUUAGUCAGAGGUGAAAGCCCAGGGCUCAACCUUGGAAUUGCCUUUGAUACUGGCUGUCUUGAGUUUGGGAGAGGUGAGUGGAACUCCGAGUGUAGAGGUGAAAUUCGUAGAUAUUCGGAAGAACACCGGUGGCGAAGGCGACUCACUGGCCCGUUACUGACGCUGAGGCGCGAAAGCGUGGGGAGCAAACAGGAUUAGAAACCCGAGUAGUCC
This 425-nucleotide ribosomal RNA is filed under the name uncultured bacterium. RNAcentral's name for it is "bacterial SSU rRNA". It matches the Rfam family "Bacterial small subunit ribosomal RNA", at positions 354 to 796 of the family's 1533-position model. The record is from RNAcentral.